Long non-coding RNA from Sus scrofa (pig), 5412 nucleotides. RefSeq lists it as uncharacterized. The record is from RefSeq and is a predicted model, not a curated record. Lineage: Eukaryota; Metazoa; Chordata; Mammalia; Artiodactyla; Suidae.
CCCUGGGGCGCCUACGUGAUUCCUUCUCCGGCCUGCGCUCGGCCCGCUGGCCCAGCAGAGGGCACCCGCCGACCCGAGCUCUUGGUUUUCGCCUCAUGUUCUUCCUGUUCCUGCCCGGAAGUGAGGGAUUUAUCCGAACUAAGCUGGCGGGAAGACUGAAGGACCCGCUGUCCCGACGCUUUAGGGGCCGUAGCCCCGGCCCAGGGAAGAGCAGCACUGAGGCACCGGCGCGGCCAAAAGCUCUUAGGAGGAACCAGUGUGCAUGCUGAAGGAGCAGCCAUGAAUUUUGGGGGCUCAUCCAGGAUUCGAGGUCCACCUGAGUGCGUAUUUUCGAGGAGGGGAGCCACAUCCCACGGCCCCCUUUGCGGUGGCCCUGAAUUGAGAGGUCCGUGCCUGUGAACUUCAAACUCCUGGAGGGUUCUCGACUGUGCAGGAGGACAGUCUGAGGAAAACAGCAACCGCAGCGACCAGGCAACUCCAGGCACAGACCAAGACAAAAGGGAUUACUAGCCACCAAUUGAUUUCCCAGUCCAUCCACAUCAGCCUGGAGACUACGUGUUAAUCAAAUCAUGGAAAGAAGACAAACUCCAACAAACCUGAAAGGGACCUUUCCUCAUGUUGCUGACCACCAAAACUGCAGUUCAAAUGGCCAAGUGAGGAUGGACUCACCACACCCAGGUAAAAAAGGGGGGCGCCAUAACAGACAAAAGGCUGUGGGUGACUUUUCUGGAAACCACCAAAACCUGGUUGGUUCAAAAAGGGUUUAAACUUAUUCCUAAUAUGAAUGACUAUUUGGGGAUCAUUAAUGUCUGGUAUUCAGGGUGGAUCAUAGGAUCCCCUAACCCUGAGAUAUUAUUGGGGCCUGGGAUUAUGGGCAGGUUAUCCACCCAAAUUAAUUAUUAACUUGACCCAGACUCCUAACCCAGUAGUCAUAAAAUUUGAUGCUUGUCAGGUCCUAGAUUGUGGAACUCUAGAAAAUCAAAAACAGCUGUCAUCCAUAAAUAUCUUUGUCCAGAACUUAGCCCACAAGAACUGUAUAGACAAGGGGGAAGACGGGAGUAUACAUACCCAUGUAUACAAAUUGGAGUGAUAUUUGGUGGACCACCAGUACCAGGGGUGGACAUUCCCCCAUACUCAUGACUUACAGGCAUUAAAGGACAAGAUUCAUCUCUCAAGGGGAGAGCUUCCAGUUAAUUGUACCCACUUAACAUGUAAUCCAAUCUUACUGACUAUCAACAAUCCAGCUACACUAGCUCAGCCACCAGAAGUGGCAACUCGUAUAUACAGUUUAGGAGCUAAUGUUUCUGGAACGGACCCAGUGGGAUGAGUGGCUCUUAGAUUGGUACCUUCAACCCAACCAAAUACUCUUCCUUCCUGGCCUCCAAGCUCUACUUCUUCCCGUAGACCCUCACCUUCCCCCAACCCCAUGCCCUCAAAAUAAUCCUAACACAGCUAAAGUAGUCAAAAUUAUCAAUCUCAAACAAACAAUUCAGAUAGAAACAGGAUAAGGGACACAAAUGCCUGGUUGGAAUGGAUAAAAUAUUCUGUGGACACCUACACAAAAUCGACUGUUAAUGUUUGUGCCACAGGGAGACCAGAGGCCCAAGUGGUUCCCUUUCUUCUGGGAUGGUCAUCAGACCCAUGGGAUCUUGAAUAUAUGUUGGCCCUCUUCCAGGACAAAACAGCUUAGAAUAACAAGUCCUAUCGGACUUUGUCACUGCUAUUCCCUGAGGUCGGAAGUUCUGCGGGUCAGCCCCCAAGAACUGUUCAGCCGCCAAAUGAAAACAUCAACUUCUCAUGUCUAGGUCAACAGGCAAAGGCAACUUUCUUAGGCAGUGUGACCAGGUGCAGUGAUAGCCAUUCCUACAACACUCUCCACAAUAAAUCCCAGUUCUGAGUGGCCCCCAGGCAGAUGUCUGGUAGUAUUGUGGGGGUCCACUAAUGAGCACCCUUCUGGAAAACUGGAGUUGCACCUGUACUUUGGUGCAAUUGGCCAUCCCUUUCACCCUGGCAUUUAGGCCCCAAUUACAAACUCAACCAAUCCAAAGAAAGUGAGACAUCACCCCUGGGGGUGGUCCUUUGACCCCAGGUCUAUAUUGACUCAGCGUUCCAAACGAAUUUAAGGCAAGAAAUCAAAUAGCCUGGUUUGUUGUCUUUUAGUGGUCAACCAUAAACAAAACUGUUUAUUGGAUAAACUACAUCUAUUACAAUCAACAAAGAUUUCAUUAUUUACACUAAAGAUGCCAUUAAAGGAAUAGCCAAACAGCUGGGACCAACCAGUCAGAUGGCAUGGGAAAAUAGACUUGCCUUAGACAUGAUGCUGACAGAAAAGGGUGGGAUCUGUGUAAUGAUGAGUAUCCAGUGCUGCAUCUUCAUUCCCAAUAACACUGCCCCAGAUGGCACCACCACCAAGGCCCUGUGCAGACUAACGACCUUAGCAGAUGAACUUUCAGAAAAUUCUGGUAUUAAUGACCCCUUCACAGACCUUUUAGAAAAUUGGCUUGGAAAAUAUAAGGGACUAAUAACUUCAGUCCUUAGCCAUCUAAUUGUCGUGUGAUCAGUGUCCUUGUCUUAGUUGGAUGUUGUAUAAUUACUCGUGCCAAGGGACGUACUGAAAGAUUAACAAACAAAUGGGACCUCCUCCCUGCCAAACCAAUAUACUAUUAAUGGACACAAUGAAAGUCAAACUAUGCUCACAGAGUUUGAAGAAAAGAAUAUCUGAUAAAAAAAAAAAAUGAAAGGGGGAAAUUGUGAGAAUUAACAUAUGUCUUUUCUAUCAAAGGAAGCCUUGUUUACUCCAUCUUGUUCCUGCUUUGUCUGAGACUCCCUCCUCCACCCCUCUCCCCUUUUCCCUCUCCUCCCAGUAACCGUUUGUUUCAAAUUAGCCAACCUAGAAAAAUGUGCACCUUGACCUUACCAGUGGGAAGGGGACAGACGUACUGCCUGUGUUAGGAAUAAAUAAUGGGUUCUUCCUUCUUCGUGUGUGCUUGGUCGCUUGCCUGCUGGUCCUGAACUGGGAGCACUUGCGCCCUUCUGCAUAAGUAAAGAGCCUUGUCGAGAUCUCCCCAUGUUCGUGUGUCUUACUUUCUGACACUAACCGUAUGAGCUGGGAUCAGUUUUCUCCAACACUCCUGAGCUUCCCCUUCCCACUGCAUACUUCCCGAAGGCAUUUAACACUUGAACCUCUUCCGUCCUGAACCUUUCAGCUGCACCACCCUCCCAUGGUUGGCUUGGAAGGAAGCCUCCCUCAGCCCCACGCCCAUUCCCCACCUUACCCCCCAGUGACCAACCCCUAAAUCCCACAACCUUCCUUCUGCUUGUCUUGAAACACUAUAUGGUCCUGCUCUCUCACCUCCUUUUCAGCUUGGGGGUAGCGCCAUGCUCCAGGUGGCUGAUGUGUCUUUCGAGCUGCAGGCUAGAAUACCUAGGUCUCAUAGACACCCAACUUGGACUCUUGGGCACAUCCCCCUCCCCAUGACUGAAACAGCUUAUCAUCAUCAUCCUCACAACCGGCCUUGUACGGACUUCACCACAUUGAAUGAAUGUUACAGCCAUCCUUUCACCCACCCCACCCAUGUUCAAGGCACACAUUAAGCCACUGGGUACAUGUCAUCCACUUGUCUGAAAAUUAACUGACAGCACGGGGGAGCAUAUCAGACAAAACCUCUGCCCUGUCAUAAUUGCAUACUUUCUCACUGUGCAAUUGGGCCUGAAGGAGGGGUGCAGGGAAGAAUGAGGAUGUGACGGGAUGGUUCUGCAAGUCAUGGAAGUCUUCCCAGAGACAGUACAUUAAGCUGUUCCUUGAAGAACAAGCGGGACUUAACUAGGUAAGGACAAGGUGUACACUCCAGGUGCAGAGUUGGGAAGGAAAUAGGGCACUCACUCCCAGAUCUCUCCCCGCCAUCCAUGUCCCUACACCAGCCUGGCCCAAGCCUUCAACUUCUGCCUGGAUUGUAACAGGCUCUCAGGUUUUCUCCCACAUUGACCUGUGGUCUUCAGUUCAUUCUCAGCAAAAAUCAAAUCUAAGCAUGUCUGUCGCACACUUGUCAGUCUUCCCUUGAUAUUAGGAUAAGGGCAAAAGCCUUGACAGACCUGCAAGAGCCCUACCUUGUCUGGGCUCUUCCAGCUCUGCAGCCCCAUGUCUUACACUCUACUAUAUUCUGUGCAUUCCCUCCAGGCCCUCAAGCCCCAGCCUGCCCCAGGGCCUUGGCAAGUACCAUGCCACUUUCUCAGGGAAAAUUUCUCCUUACCAUUCCUAUCCUGUGCUCUCCAGCACAUCCCAUCAGGGGACCAUGUCCCUUUGGCUCACAGAGUCUGCUUGUGAUGGUUGAUCUGUGAAGCUGUUAAUCUUGUGACUGCUGGUCUUCCCAUGCGAGCCAUCUCUGUUCAGUGUUUCCUUAGUGCCUACAAGAGCCCAACACAAGUAUUCCACCCCACAGCUCUGUUCUGGGACCUUACCUAGGGCACUUGAUGUUUGUGGCCUCAGUAUUAUGUAAAAUGUAACCAAUACUAGCCAUUCAAACUAGCUCUCAGAAGCAAAUCUAUUAUUUAGUGGAUUAAAAAGCACUUGAUAAAGGAGUUCCUGUUGUGGCUCAGUGGUAAUGAACCUGACUAGGAUCCAUGAGGACUUAGGUUCGAUCCCUGGCCCUCUUUAGUGAGUUAAGGAUCCGGUAUUACCAUGAGCUAUGGUGUAGGUCACAGAUGAGGCUCAGAUCCUCUGUGGCUAUGGCUGUGGCUGGUAGCUGUAGCUCCAAUUGGACCCUUAGCCAGGGAAGCUCCAUAUAAUGCAGGUGUUGAUCCCCCCCCAUCAAAAAAACCACUUGGGAGGGGGAGGGAGUGGGAGGGAUCGGGAGCUUGGGCUUAUCAGACACAACUUAGAAUAGAUUUACAAGGAGAUCCUGCUGAAUAGCAUUGAGAACUUUGUCUAGAUACUCAUGUUGCAACAGAACAAAGGGUGGGGAAAAAAAUGUAAUGUAUACAUGUAAGGAUAACUUGAUCACCUUGCUGUACAGUGGGAAAAUUAAAAAAAAAAAACCCACUUGAUGGAAGUACCAUCCCCAAAGUUAAGAAUUAAGUUACAAGAGAUUUUUAACAGAACAAAACAGAUGUUCACAGUCCCAACUUUAUUUUCAUUUGGCCACACACACUUUAAAAAACACAAAUGCUUAUAAAAUACCCAAACAUCAGAAAUUAGAAGGGCAUAAAACAAGGGACUUACAGGCAAAAAGAAUAUCCUAGGCUUCAGAACAAACAAAACCGACUCAAAAAUUUCUUUUUUCAAAACACAAAAAUAUUUUGUUUUUAAUGGGAUUUAAGUGGUGGUAGUUUUUUGGAAAAAAGAAAAAAGAAAACUCUGGGGACAACAACUAAGCUUCUUGUGUUGCCUGAGGCAGGGCCUGGCUUCUCUCUUCC